GGGACACGUGGUAUCCUGUCUGAAUAUGGGGGGACCAUCCUCCAAGGCUAAAUACUCCUGACUGACCGAUAGUGAACCAGUACCGUGAGGGAAAGGCGAAAAGAACCCCGGCGAGGGGAGUGAAAAAGAACCUGAAACCGUGUACGUACAAGCAGUGGGAGCCUCUUAAUGGGGUGACUGCGUACCUUUUGUAUAAUGGGUCAGCGACUUAUAUUCUGUAGCAAGGUUAACCGAAUAGGGGAGCCGAAGGGAAACCGAGUCUUAACUGGGCGUUAAGUUGCAGGGUAUAGACCCGAAACCCGGUGAUCUAGCCAUGGGCAGGUUGAAGGUUGGGUAACACUAACUGGAGGACCGAACCGACUAAUGUUGAAAAAUUAGCGGAUGACUUGUGGCUGGGGGUGAAAGGCCAAUCAAACCGGGAGAUAGCUGGUUCUCCCCGAAAGCUAUUUAGGUAGCGCCUCGUGAAUUCAUCUCCGGGGGUAGAGCACUGUUUCGGCAAGGGGGUCAUCCCGACUUACCAACCCGAUGCAAACUGCGAAUACCGGAGAAUGUUAUCACGGGAGACACACGGCGGGUGCUAACGUC
This 585-nucleotide ribosomal RNA is filed under the name Escherichia coli. RNAcentral's name for it is "partial 23S ribosomal RNA". It matches the Rfam family "Bacterial large subunit ribosomal RNA", at positions 419 to 1005 of the family's 2925-position model. Lineage: Bacteria; Pseudomonadati; Pseudomonadota; Gammaproteobacteria; Enterobacterales; Enterobacteriaceae. The record is from RNAcentral.